RNAcentral lists this ribosomal RNA (440 nucleotides) under uncultured bacterium. RNAcentral describes it as "partial 16S ribosomal RNA". It matches the Rfam family "Bacterial small subunit ribosomal RNA", at positions 338 to 795 of the family's 1533-position model. The record is from RNAcentral.
CCUACGGGUGGCAGCAGUAGGGAAUAUUGCUCAAUGGGGGAAACCCUGAAGCAGCAACGCCGCGUGGCGGAUGAAGGUUUUCGGAUUGUAAACUCCUUUUGUAAGAGAAGAUAAUGAAGGGAUCUAACGAAUAAGCACCUGCUAACUCCGUGCCAGGAGCCGCGGUAAUACGGAGGGCGCAAGCGUUACGCGGAAUGAAUGGGCGUAUCGAGCGCGUAGGCGGGAUAGCAAGUCAGAUGUGAAAUCCUAUGGCUUAACCAUAGAACUGCAUUUGAAACUGUUAUUCUAGAGUAUGGGAGAGGUAGGUGGAAUUCUUGGUGUAGGGGUAAAAUCCGUAGAGAUCAAGAGGAAUACUCAUUGCGAAGGCGACCUGCUAGAACAUAACUGACGCUGAUGCGCGAAAGCGUGGGGAGCAAACAGGAUGAGAUACCCCUGUAGUC